AUUGAACGCUGGCGGCAGGCCUAACACAUGCAAGUCGAGCGAGCGGCGGACGGGUGAGUAAUGUAUGGGGACUGCCCGAUAGAGGGGGAUAACUACUGGAAACGGUGGCUAAUACCGCAUACUAUCGGAUAACCCAUAUGGGAUUAGCUAGUAGGUGGGGUAAAGGCCCACCUAGGCGACGAUCUCUAGCUGGUCUGAGAGGGUGAUCCGCAACACUGGGACUGAGACACGGCCAGGACUCCUCCGGAGGCAGCGGUGGGGAAUAUUGGCCAAUGGGGGCAAUCCUGAUGCAGCCAUGCCGCGUGUAUGAAGAAGGCUUUAGGGUUGUAAAUUACGUUCAGCGGGGAGGCGUUACCCGCAGAAGAAGCACCGGCUAACUCCGUGCCAGCAGCCGCGGUAAUAC
RNAcentral lists this ribosomal RNA (403 nucleotides) under uncultured bacterium. Its description in RNAcentral is "partial 16S ribosomal RNA". It matches the Rfam family "Bacterial small subunit ribosomal RNA", at positions 30 to 526 of the family's 1533-position model. The record is from RNAcentral.